GCGGGAGUGGCGAAAUUGGUAGACGCACCAGAUUUAGGUUCUGGAGCCGCAAGGUGUGCGAGUUCAAGUCUCGCCUCCCGCACCA
RNAcentral lists this transfer RNA (85 nucleotides) under Escherichia coli. RNAcentral describes it as "tRNA-Leu". It matches the Rfam family "tRNA". Rfam says of the family: Transfer RNA (tRNA) molecules are approximately 80 nucleotides in length. Their secondary structure includes four short double-helical elements and three loops (D, anti-codon, and T loops). Further hydrogen bonds mediate the characteristic L-shaped molecular structure. tRNAs have two regions of fundamental functional importance: the anti-codon, which is responsible for specific mRNA codon recognition, and the 3' end, to which the tRNAs corresponding amino acid is attached (by aminoacyl-tRNA synthetases). tRNAs cope with the degeneracy of the genetic code in two manners: having more than one tRNA (with a specific anti-codon) for a particular amino acid; and 'wobble' base-pairing, i.e. permitting non-standard base-pairing at the 3rd anti-codon position. RNAcentral also lists the same sequence under 2 other names. Lineage: Bacteria; Pseudomonadati; Pseudomonadota; Gammaproteobacteria; Enterobacterales; Enterobacteriaceae. The record is from RNAcentral.